This is a small nuclear RNA of Cairina moschata (Muscovy duck), 163 nucleotides long. Its record names the gene U1. It matches the Rfam family "U1 spliceosomal RNA". From Rfam's summary of the family: U1 is a small nuclear RNA (snRNA) component of the spliceosome (involved in pre-mRNA splicing). Its 5' end forms complementary base pairs with the 5' splice junction, thus defining the 5' donor site of an intron. There are significant differences in sequence and secondary structure between metazoan and yeast U1 snRNAs, the latter being much longer (568 nucleotides as compared to 164 nucleotides in human). NCBI's taxonomy places the organism in Eukaryota, Metazoa, Chordata, Aves, Anseriformes, Anatidae. The record is from Ensembl.
AUGCUUACCUGGUAGGGAAGACACCAUGAUCAGGCCGGUGGUUUUCCCAGGGUGAGGCUCAUCCCCUGCUCCAGCUGUGCUGACCCCUGCGAUUUCCCCAAAUGUGGGAAACUUGACUGCAUAAUUUGUGGUGGGUGGGGGACUGUGUUUGUGCUCUCCCCUG